Molecule: unclassified non-coding RNA, 245 nt
Filed under: Hevea brasiliensis (rubber tree)
Lineage: Eukaryota; Viridiplantae; Streptophyta; Magnoliopsida; Malpighiales; Euphorbiaceae
Source: RNAcentral
AAAACAAAAAAUUUUAACCUGUAAAAAAACACUUCCAAAAUGAAUUUCAAUCACAAUCCCCAACCUCCAAUAAAUCAACACAACUCAAUUUUUCACAAUUCACAAUAUUUCAAAACAAUUAAAUCAACUCAUUACAUUUAAUUUAAAAUAUUUACUUUACAUCCACAAGUUUAAUUUACAACAUAAAAUCCAAAAAUAAUACUAUUACAAAUUUACUAUACAACUGCUCAAGACCAAUUACAAAA